UAACGCGUGAGAAUCUGGCUCUAGGUUCGGGACAACCACUGGAAACGGUGGCUAAUACCGGGUAUGCCGAGAGGUGAAAGGUAAACUGCCUGGAGAUGAGCUCGCGUCUGAUUAGCUAGUUGGUGGUGUAAGGGACUACCAAGGCGACGAUCAGUAGCUGGUCUGAGAGGAUGAUCAGCCACACUGGAACUGAGACACGGUCCAGACUCCUACGGGAGGCAGCAGUGGGGAAUUUUCCGCAAUGGGCGAAAGCCUGACGGAGCAAUACCGCGUGAGGGAGGAAGGCUCUUGGGUUGUAAACCUCUUUUCUCAGGGAAUAAGCAAGUGAAGGUACCUGAGGAAUCAGCAUCGGCUAACUCCGUGCCAGCAGCCGCGGUAAUACGGAGGAUGCAAGCGUUAUCCGGAAUGAUUGGGCGUAAAGCGUCCGUAGGUGGCUGUGUGUGUCUAUUGUUAAAGAGUUUGGCUUAACCAAAUAAGGGCGGUAGAAACUACACAGCUAGAGUGCGUUCGGGGCAGAGGGAAUUCCUGGUGUAGCGGUGAAAUGCGUAGAGAUCAGGAAGAACACCGGUGGCGAAAGCGCUCUGCUAGG
RNAcentral lists this ribosomal RNA (589 nucleotides) under Westiellopsis sp. AUS-JR/DB/NT-018. RNAcentral's name for it is "bacterial SSU rRNA". It matches the Rfam family "Bacterial small subunit ribosomal RNA", at positions 111 to 733 of the family's 1533-position model. Lineage: Bacteria; Bacillati; Cyanobacteriota; Cyanophyceae; Nostocales; Hapalosiphonaceae. The record is from RNAcentral.